CAAAGGCUUGGUCCCGACUUUACCGUCAGCUUUAACCAGAUUUACACAUGCAAGUCUCCGCACCCCCGUGAGGAUGCCCUCAAUUUCCCACCCGGAAACGAGGAGCCGGCAUCAGGCACACCCCCGUGGCCCAAGACGCCUUGCUAAGCCACACCCCCAAGGGAAUUCAGCAGUGAUAGAUAUUAAGCCAUGGGCGAAAGCCCGACUUAGUUAAAGUUAAAUAGGGCCGGUAAAACUCGUGCCAGCCACCGCGGUUAUACGAGAGGCCCGAGUUGACAGACACCGGCGUAAAGAGUGGUUAGAGGAGAUAUAAACUAGAGCUGAACUUCCCCCCGGCUGUUAUACGCACCCGAGAGAACGGAACCCCACCCACGAAAGUGGCUUUACCUUCGCCUGACCCCACGACAACUAAGAGACAAACUGGGAUUAGAUACCCCACUAUGCUUAGCCGUAAACCCUGAUAUUAAAAUACAACUAAUAUCCGCCCGGGAACUACAAGCGCCAGCUUAAAACCCAAAGGACUUGGCGGUGCCUUACACCCACCUAGAGGAGCCUGUUCUAGAACCGAUAACCCCCGUUCAACCUCACCACCCCUUGUCAUCCCCGCCUAUAUACCGCCGUCGUCAGCUUACCCUGUAAAGGGCCCACAGUAAGCAAAAUGGGCACAACCCAGAACGUCAGGUCGAGGUGUAGCGUACGGGGUGGGAAGAAAUGGGCUACAUUUCCUGAACCAGGAUAUCACGAAAGGUGCCAUGAAACCUCGCACCCGAAGGUGGAUUUAGCAGUAAGGGGGGAGCAGAGCGCCCCCCUGAAGACGGCUCUAAGGCGCGUACACACCGCCCGUCACUCUCCCCGAGUUCAUUGCCAGUAGUAACUAAAAAGUUUCUCGAACCAAGGGGAGGCAAGUCGUAACAUGGUAAGUGUACUGGAAAGUGCACUUGGAACAAC
Molecule: non-coding RNA, 948 nt
Filed under: Diplophos taenia (Pacific portholefish)
Lineage: Eukaryota; Metazoa; Chordata; Actinopteri; Stomiiformes; Diplophidae
Description: 12S rRNA
Rfam family: Bacterial small subunit ribosomal RNA
Source: RNAcentral